Molecule: non-coding RNA, 292 nt
Organism: Lonchura striata (white-rumped munia)
Lineage: Eukaryota; Metazoa; Chordata; Aves; Passeriformes; Estrildidae
Source: RefSeq, a predicted model, not a curated record
CUGCAGUGGUUCAAAGAAGCUGAGAGGCUGAUGUAUGAAAGAGCAGCACUUAAGGCAAAAAGAUGAAAGCAGCUCUAGUGAACACCAGAACCAUUCUUGUCAAGUAUUUUCUUGGCACCGAUCUAGUCAAAUUCAUGUCCGAGACACACAAAUGCCAAAGGAGUACGCAAGAAAUACUGCCAGGAUAAACAAUAAUAUGUCUGCCUCUCCUUGUACUCUAAAGUAAAUUGGCCUUAAGAGCUAAGUUUCAAAAGACAUGUUAAAACAAUAAAGAAAAAUUUUUUCCAGUUCA